GUGUCAGCUCUGCUCACAACUAGCAUACUGUAUACACGUGCUGCAAUGGUACCCUCAACCGUCGUCUUCCGUGUAGCCUUGUAUAUAGACAGAUCAUUGAUAGCAUAAUUUUCCUACUGGCUGGAUCCAGAGUCUAGACUCUGAGAUGCAUAUGGCAUUGACAGAGACUAGACACAUUAAAUUUUUAUUUUCACUGUUAACUUGGAGCCUUCUGGAGCCAACGGAUUCGCAUCUGGAGCCAAGUUUGGCUUUGUUGCCCCGAGGUGCCGGACACUGACAGUAUUCCUGUUUCCACUGGAACGAGCUCGACGAGCAAAUGAAGAUCUGGAUCUUCACGUGCAGUAGUUACGUACUCGUACACUGCAGGAGCUAAUGGAGAAGAAGAGGAAUCAGUUGAUGACAUUCUAGAGAGAAUCCAAGACAACGAUUCGACCCUCACUGAACUCAAUGUCAACCAUCGUCGAUUGGACAGCGAGACACGACAGCAAUUAGUACGAUCUCUACCAUUCAACACACACAUCAAGAAACUUCUUUUAGCAAACACCCAGAUGGAUGAUAACGACGCAAGAGUUUUGGCGAAUCAUUUGGAGAAGAACAAGACGAUAAGGAUUGUGAAUUUGGAGUCUAAUCGCCUCACUGGUGCUGGAGUGAGGGACAUCAUGAGAGCUUUGGUAAAGAACGACACUGUUGAAGAGCUGAGACUUGAAAACCAGUACAACCCACUUGGAACCAGAACUGAGAUGGAUGUGCAUGACUCGUUUCCUUGAGAAGAACACACAUCUGUUGAAGCUUGGAUUGUCAAUUAAGGGUGGAGUAGCACGUCAGAAGGUCGACACGUAUUUGUUGAGAAACAAUGAUUCAGUUCGUCAAAGACGUCAUCUCAGCAGCCACAGUUAGUAUCCUGUAGAUUUUUCAGUUUGAAUUUUGACUGGUGACAGUAAGAUUGACUUUGAAUGACAGAUUUCUACUAGCUGUGAGAAUGACAAUAGAAUGUAGGGUUUAUGUAAGGUAGAGAGAGAUGAAAAUGCAACACACAAUACACUCAAUGAAAUGCAAUGAAAUGA
This is a long non-coding RNA of Corticium candelabrum, 1064 nucleotides long. RefSeq lists it as uncharacterized. The transcript is spliced from 7 exons. The record is from RefSeq and is a predicted model, not a curated record. Lineage: Eukaryota; Metazoa; Porifera; Homoscleromorpha; Homosclerophorida; Plakinidae.